AUCCAGCUGACGAGUCCCAAAUAGGAUGAAAAGUGCGUCGUGGAU
RNAcentral lists this non-coding RNA (45 nucleotides) under Schistosoma mansoni. The record is from RNAcentral. Lineage: Eukaryota; Metazoa; Platyhelminthes; Trematoda; Strigeidida; Schistosomatidae.